This 696-nucleotide long non-coding RNA is filed under the name Pan troglodytes (chimpanzee). RNAcentral describes it as "long non-coding RNA NONPTRT010772". The record is from RNAcentral. Lineage: Eukaryota; Metazoa; Chordata; Mammalia; Primates; Hominidae.
GAAACAAUAGGGAAGAGGAAGCAAUCAGAUAUGCAUUUGUUUCAGGUGAACAGAGGAAUGACUUUGUCCCACACCUGUGAAGAUAAGCUAUCAAUUUACAUUACCAGGGUGAAAUUCAACAGAAAUGCUUUUGGAUAAAGAUGUUCAGGCCCACAGGGAAUUUCCUUGUCGACAAAUUGUGAAGGAGGAAGUUGAGUGAGGCCUGAGACAGCAAUGUUUCGUUUAGCCUGGCGGUGGCCCUCCUUGUCUUCAAGAAGAGCAUCCGUGGCUAGCAGUGGAAGAUGGGGUUGGGCCCCAGGUGAGUGACCCUUUGUCGAGUUUGCAGAAUUUGGUCUUGGCGGGUUGAGGAUCUCUUGUAUUUUGUGCGCUCUGUUCCUGCUCCAGGACUGACCAGGCAGUUCUGCCACCUUCUAGGGGUGUGAAAUUGGGAAGUAAUUCAAAAUGUAUGUGCCUAGCAUUCCUUUUAUGUAACAUGAGGGGAAUAGAAGUACCAAACCGAUGCAGUUCAGUGGAGAAUUAAAUGAGAUAGUCACAAGUAAAAGGUGGUAAGUGUGGUUCAUUUUAUUAAUUUUCUUUUAAUUUCCCGAGAAGCCCCAGUUACCUGAAAGCUUCUGUGAGCCUGGGAAGGGAUCAGAGUUCCACCUGCAGUGCUAUUUUGCCCCUUCUUUCUGAUCCUUACAGGAAGCAGGACGAUUC